Piliocolobus tephrosceles (Ugandan red Colobus) is the source of this 2886-nucleotide long non-coding RNA. RefSeq lists it as uncharacterized. The record is from RefSeq and is a predicted model, not a curated record. NCBI's taxonomy places the organism in Eukaryota, Metazoa, Chordata, Mammalia, Primates, Cercopithecidae. The transcript has 3 exons.
UUUCUCCAUGUUGGCCAGACUGGUCUCGAUCUCCUGACCUCAAGUGAUCCACUUGCCUCAGCCUCCUAAAGUGCUGGAAUUAAGGCAUGAGCCACCAUACCUGGCCCUCAGUGUCCCAAUUUCAUUAGCAUACUACCAAGUGGAGGUGAUGGCUUUGGAGUUCACUUUGUUUUUUAAGUGAGAUACAGUGCUGAGUUUUUAGCUAGCAUAGGGCUCUGGCAUUUAAAGAAUUGCUAAAGUAACCUCUUCUAGGCUGUUCUUCAAAUAAAAGUGAAAAACAGAGCCCUGCACAAAAGUAGGGGUUUACAACAUUUGUGAUGAAUGAACGAAAACCACAACUCUUAUCACUAAGAAAGUCACAUUUCAAGUCAGUAUACAGAGGGACCUGUGAAGGUGAAACUAGGAUCCAGGAGCAGGAGAACCUUGACCCUCAGGACCAGAGCCAGUCCAGAUACGGCCUCCAGGGCCCUCACGGCACCCACACAAGGUGCAGCGUGCAUACACUAGCCAAGCUUGGCAGCAUCACUUCAUGUCCACAGCUUACCCUCUUGUUACGUGUGAUAGAGGAAUCAGGACUGAUUGGUUAACAGUGCAUAAAAGGCAAAGCUGUAAACAAAAGACAUGAAGAAGGAGAAAGUGGACCCGAGUUAUUCCAAAAGCACAAAAAGAGUUUUAGCCCAAAGAGGUAAAGUGAUGGGCCAGCAGCCACACAGUGCACUAGUGGCAGCACUGGUUCUAGAAUUCAGGCUUCUUGGUUCCCCAUUCAGACUUGCUCCUAGAACUUAACAAAUGAAAAAGUUGUAGGCAACGCAACUCUGAACUUUUAUUUUCCAGAGUUACGUAGUUCCCUUUCAUCUCUGUCACUGGAAAUCUGUAAACUUAACCUUUACUCUUGACUUUCUUGAAACUGUGCAUUUUCUACCAGAAAAUAAAAAUCCCCAGGUUACUCCCUGUUUUAACAGGAAGUGAAAAUAGCAAAAAAAGAGUAUGCAAAGUGAAAUGCCUUUUUAUACAGUUCCAAUUGCAAAUGCAAUUUAAAACAUGAUGAGUACAUUCCUUGGCUUGUUGCUUUAAAAAAAGAAAGAGAGAAAAAAAAAAAGAAAAGCAAUGAUAGGCAUUUGUCAAAACUCAUCACGUGGUCCACUUAAGUACCAUAUUUUAAAAAAUAAGAAUAUUUUAUCUUUCCUGUCCUAGUUCAAUAUUCUAAUUUGAUAAUCUGGUGAUGACGAUGGUAGAUUAAGCCUGUGUCUUAUGACACAUGAGUCAUUCUAAAGAAAAAAGGGUUCUCAAAAUACCUUGGGAGAAAAUGUUAACAGUCAUUAAUUCUGGGUGCCUAGAACCUGGGUAUAUGUUACAGUAUUAAUUGCAUUGUUCUAUGUUUUUAAUUUAAAAAAAAAAAAAAAAAACAACCUUGAGAUUAAGGGUUCCCAAUGUUCUUGUAAGGAGGAAUUGGUCUUGGUUUCCCUGAAUCCAGAAGACUUAAAGGAUUGAGACAGUGGAGUUCUUAGAGGGAACUGUCCAGGGGAUUAUGGGAUACUUCAGAGAAGAGGCACCGAAGCAUCAACCAUCUUGGAACUCUGCCAACUAGAACCUCAGACUCAACUGACACAUCCAAACUAAUGGCCGAGUGUCUCUUUUAGCAGCAUCAAGCAACUCCCUUACAAUACCACCCAAAGUAAUUUUCCUGAAGAAAUUCUCCUUGUAUCUAAUUUCAUUCAGGUUCUUGGGGCUUGCCAAGUAGCCAGCAAAGUGACCUUAACUUGGUCAGUUGACCUCUCUGGUCCUAAAUUUCCUAAUCUGCAACAUUUGAAGGUUUAUUUUCUAAGUGUUUUUACUUUAGUACUAAUUUCUGUGAGACAGUCAAGCUAUUCAAUGUUAGGUUGAGGUACGUAAAUCACUCCUGCCAGCCUGUGUACGAGGUGGUUCUGGUAUCACUGUGGCCCAGCAUGUGUCUGCCUAUCAGCGUUGGCAGCCACUGAGACAAGUGAAGUGACCUGUCAACACUGUAGACUGAAUAACCAGGGAAGGCUGAGGAAUGCAAGUGAAUGUAAAAACCACCUGGAGGGAAGCAUUGCAGCAAGAAAGGAACAGCAAGUGCAGAGGCCUGAGGCAGAACCAGCGGGGAAAAUGCUUUGAGGUGAGGCAGACAACGGUGCCAAGAUAUUCGAUGGAGAAAGAAUAAUUGUUUCAACAAACGGUGCUGGGACAACUGGAUAUUCACAUGCAAAAGAAUGAAGUUGGAUCCCUGCCUCAUGCAUGUGUGUGUGUGUGUGUGUGUGUGUGUAUAAAUUUAUAUGACAGACACUGUCCUUUGUGUCAUAGAUGUACACAUCACCACCAUCAGCUAUGAAGCAGUCUUCUUCCCCCACUGCCCCAAACAGUUCCCUGGUUGGUUUGAAGCAGUCUUGUAAAAAGGAAAAUCAAAUCUGAAUCUGAGCAGAUUAUAUUCUGGGGCUGUAACGAGACUAUAGGAAACUCUGCUAUGGGAGACCCGGGUUCUUCAAUAAAUAAUUUCAAGAAAGGAAAAGAGAUAGAAGGAGAAUCUAUAGAUUAAAAGAGACAUAGGCAUUUCAUCAGAGGCAAUGUAAGAAUGUUUUUAUUAUACAUUACAUACUAUAUAUUCAUUCAUUCAUUUAUCCAACACACAUACAUACAUACUGCUUCCCUACACUAUGUCAGGUACUGUUCCACACACAAAGCAUCCAGCAAAAUGUACAAAUUCUAGCCCUUGGCUGGGCACGGUGGCUCAUACCUGUAAUCACAGCAUUCUAGGAGCCAAGGCUGGCAGGUCACUUGAAGCCAAGAGUUUGAGACCAGCCUGGCCAACAUGGUGAAACCCAGUCUCAAUUAAAACUACAAAAAAAUAUAAAAAAUUAGCUGAGUGUG